RNAcentral lists this ribosomal RNA (1494 nucleotides) under uncultured bacterium. Its description in RNAcentral is "16S ribosomal RNA". It matches the Rfam family "Bacterial small subunit ribosomal RNA". The record is from RNAcentral.
GAGUUUGAUCCUGGCUCAGAUUGAACGCUGGCGGCAGGCCUAACACAUGCAAGUCGAGCGGAUGAAGGGAGCUUGCUCUCUGAUUCAGCGGCGGACGGGUGAGUAAUGCCUAGGAAUCUGCCUGGUAGUGGGGGACAACGUUUCGAAAGGAACGCUAAUACCGCAUACGUCCUACGGGAGAAAGCAGGGGACCUUCGGGCCUUGCGCUAUCAGAUGAGCCUAGGUCGGAUUAGCUAGUUGGUGAGGUAAUGGCUCACCAAGGCGACGAUCCGUAACUGGUCUGAGAGGAUGAUCAGUCACACUGGAACUGAGACACGGUCCAGACUCCUACGGGAGGCAGCAGUGGGGAAUAUUGGACAAUGGGCGAAAGCCUGAUCCAGCCAUGCCGCGUGUGUGAAGAAGGUCUUCGGAUUGUAAAGCACUUUAAGUUGGGAGGAAGGGUUGUAGAUUAAUACUCUGCAAUUUUGACGUUACCGACAGAAUAAGCACCGGCUAACUCUGUGCCAGCAGCCGCGGUAAUACAGAGGGUGCAAGCGUUAAUCGGAAUUACUGGGCGUAAAGCGCGCGUAGGUGGUUUGUUAAGUCGGAUGUGAAAUCCCCGGGCUCAACCUGGGAACUGCAUCCGAAACUGGCAAGCUAGAGUAUGGUAGAGGGUAGUGGAAUUUCCAGGUGUAGCGGUGAAAUGCGUAGAGAUCUGGAGGAAUACCGGUGGCGAAGGCGGCCUCCUGGACGAAGACUGACGCUCAGGUGCGAAAGCGUGGGGAGCAAACAGGAUUAGAUACCCUGGUAGUCCACGCCGUAAACGAUGUCUAUUUGGAGGCUGUGCCCUUGAGGCGUGGCUUCCGGAGCUAACGCGUUAAAUAGACCGCCUGGGGAGUACGGCCGCAAGGUUAAAACUCAAAUGAAUUGACGGGGGCCCGCACAAGCGGUGGAGCAUGUGGUUUAAUUCGAUGCAACGCGAAGAACCUUACCUGGUCUUGACAUCCACGGAAGGUCUCAGAGAUGAGACUGUGCCUUCGGGAACCGUGAGACAGGUGCUACAUGGCUGUCGUCAGCUCGUGUUGUGAAAUGUUGGGUUAAGUCCCGCAACGAGCGCAACCCUUAUCCUUUGUUGCCAGCGGCUCGGCCGGGAACUCAAAGAAGACUGCCGGUGAUAAACCGGAGGAAGGUGGGGAUGACGUCAAGUCAUCAUGGCCCUUACGACCAGGGCUACACACGUGCUACAAUGGCGCAUACAAAGAGAAGCGACCUCGCGAGAGCAAGCGGACCUCAUAAAGUGCGUCGUAGUCCGGAUUGGAGUCUGCAACUCGACUCCAUGAAGUCGGAAUCGCUAGUAAUCGUGAAUCAGAAUGUCACGGUGAAUACGUUCCCGGGCCUUGUACACACCGCCCGUCACACCAUGGGAGUGGGUUGCAAAAGAAGUAGGUAGCUUAACCUUCGGGAGGGCGCUUACCACUUUGUGAUUCAUGACUGGGGUGAAGUCGUAACAAGGUA